Molecule: transfer RNA, 66 nt
Filed under: Diapriidae sp. ZJUH_2016010
Lineage: Eukaryota; Metazoa; Arthropoda; Insecta; Hymenoptera; Diapriidae
Description: tRNA-Gly
Source: RNAcentral
AUUUUUAUAGUAUAUUAUAAUAGUACAAUUAACUUCCAAUUAAUAAGAUUAAAUUUAAUAAAAAUA